GCGCAGGUGGCGGAACUGGCAGACGCGUACGUUUGAGGGGCGUAUGCCGAAAGGCGUGAGGGUUCGAGUCCCUCCCUGCGCACCA
RNAcentral lists this transfer RNA (85 nucleotides) under Elusimicrobiota bacterium. Its description in RNAcentral is "Elusimicrobia bacterium (mine drainage metagenome) tRNA-Leu". It matches the Rfam family "tRNA". Rfam says of the family: Transfer RNA (tRNA) molecules are approximately 80 nucleotides in length. Lineage: Bacteria; Pseudomonadati; Elusimicrobiota. The record is from RNAcentral.